UGUUGUGUGGCUCAGUGGUAGAGCACUUGCCUGGCACAUGGGAGGCCCUGAGUUCGGUCCUCAGCAUCACAU
Molecule: transfer RNA, 72 nt
Filed under: Ictidomys tridecemlineatus (thirteen-lined ground squirrel)
Lineage: Eukaryota; Metazoa; Chordata; Mammalia; Rodentia; Sciuridae
Description: Spermophilus tridecemlineatus (thirteen-lined ground squirrel) tRNA
Rfam family: tRNA
About the family: Transfer RNA (tRNA) molecules are approximately 80 nucleotides in length. Their secondary structure includes four short double-helical elements and three loops (D, anti-codon, and T loops).
Source: Rfam by way of RNAcentral